This 253-nucleotide ribosomal RNA is filed under the name uncultured bacterium. RNAcentral's name for it is "partial 16S ribosomal RNA". It matches the Rfam family "Bacterial small subunit ribosomal RNA", at positions 524 to 776 of the family's 1533-position model. The record is from RNAcentral.
UACAGAGGGUGCAAGCGUUAAUCGGAAUUACUGGGCGUAAAGCGCACGUAGGCGGUUAGUCAAGUUGGAUGUGAAAGCCCCGGGCUCAACCUGGGAAUUGCAUUCAAAACUGGCUAACUAGAGUAUGUGAGAGGGGGGUAGAAUUCCAAGUGUAGCGGUGAAAUGCGUAGAGAUUUGGAGGAAUACCAGUGGCGAAGGCGGCCCCCUGGCACAAUACUGACGCUGAGGUGCGAAAGCGUGGGGAGCAAACAGG